GACGAACGCUGGCGGCGUGCUUAACGCAUGCAAGUCGAACGGAAAGGCCCUGCUUUUGUGGGGUGCUCGAGUGGCGAACGGGUGAGUAACACGUGAGUAACCUGCCCUUGACUUUGGGAUAACUUCAGGAAACUGGGGCUAAUACCGGAUAGGAGCUCCUGCUGCAUGGUGGGGGUUGGAAAGUUUCGGCGGUUGGGGAUGGACUCGCGGCUUAUCAGCUUGUUGGUGGGGUAGUGGCUUACCAAGGCUUUGACGGGUAGCCGGCCUGAGAGGGUGACCGGCCACAUUGGGACUGAGAUACGGCCCAGACUCCUACGGGAGGCAGCAGUGGGGAAUAUUGCACAAUGGGCGGAAGCCUGAUGCAGCAACGCCGCGUGUGGGAUGACGGCCUUCGGGUUGUAAACCGCUUUCGCCUGUGACGAAGCGUGAGUGACGGUAAUGGGUAAAGAAGCACCGGCGAACUACGU
Molecule: ribosomal RNA, 467 nt
Filed under: uncultured bacterium
Lineage: Bacteria
Description: partial 16S ribosomal RNA
Rfam family: Bacterial small subunit ribosomal RNA
Source: RNAcentral